UUGCAAUAUAAAUAUAAUUUUAAUUGCUCUAAAUGUAUAAAUUUUUAGAUAAUAUAAUAUUAUUAAAUAAUAAAUUAUACGAAUAAUUAUUACCUGAUAAUAAUUUCAAGUGUAUCAUAUAAUCAAAUCAAUCAAGAAUUAGAUCAACGCAUAUUGACUCUCAAGCUCGGAAGCAGGAGUUGUAGAUAUCUCGAAAUUCAUUUAAGUUUUAUUUCAAAUGCAUAGUAAUUAUCUCAUAUUUUUAUGGUAUUCUGAUAUAAUAAUUUCUUUCUCUCUCUCUCUCUCUCCCUCUCCUUCUGACAUCACAAAUAUUCGUAUCAUUGUUUCACUAAAGUGAAGCAAAUAAGAAUUACAAUAGGCUUCAUAGUUUAGAAUUUGCAGCUCGAAAACUGGAAAUGGCAGAUUGCACGAAAAAGAAAAUAACAUGACGAGGGACGUUCUGAAAACAGGAAAACUUAUCGUGAUACGACUCGGUAAUACGCCCGGAACACGCGUCCGAGUCACGUGCGCGGCGCGAAAAACGCGAAUGGCGCGCGGGCAGCUUAGGGGCGCGUCGCUUGCGUGAACGUACGGUGGCAGCGAAAGGCGUCGUAGAAAGACUGGCGUCGGUACAGCUGAACUAGGCAGGGGGCAAUGCACCUGCGACAAUAACAACAACAACAACGCGACGGGGAGCCGCGCGACGAUCAUGCCAUUCAGACCGCGAUCGUCGAUGUACUUGCGCGCUCUCCUCCCUGUCUCUUUUCCCCCCAUAUAAAGCCACCAGAGUUUCCCGCGAUGGAUCGUUUGCAUCACGCCGGAUUCCUAACGAAUCUGGGACGCGCAUUUAUGUCGCGCGAAUAAUGACACGAGAUUGCGAGGGAAACCAGGGGUACAUCGAACUGGUAAUGAUCACACGGACGAGCCGCCUUGCGAAGCGCCCGUCUUGUCACCCAUUGUGCUGCGAUCGUAUUUUGAAUAUUACGUAAUACGACGUUGUUUUAGAGAAAGUUCUCUCGUGGAAUGUUAUUAAUCAGUGAACAAUUGAGAUACUCAUAUUGUAGAGUUAUGUCGGGUCGUAAGGAACCGCGAAGUCUUGUUUUCUCUUCGGUAUUCUUACAAUUAGUUACCCAGCAAUCUCUCGUUGUUAACAAACUGGUUAAUCACUUAAUCGUAAUCUAGUCUUUUCGCGUCUUGAUAAUAUGGAGUAGGUUAACGGGUGUAAAUGACUGGUACACGUAUCGAUUUAUACUUUAUUAGCGAAUGUUAAAGUUAGCGCGCUCGUAUUAUUUCUUUCUAUAGACCGCGCGUACUCGUUACCACGUGUAAUGAUCAAGAGUACCGUAAUAUCCGUUAUACACGGCAAUGCACCGACUCUUGACUUCCCCGACCACAAUUUGGAACCAAUCAUAAACGAAGAGCAUUUGGAAAUACGUGCUGCAGUUUGAAGUGUGCCAUUCGUAUACAAAUUGAUAAACAAAGUCAAAAUAAAGAUCGAAGAAAGAUUUACACAAUAUUUUAUUAAUAAAAACAUAUCGUAAAAUACGCGCGAUUUAUAUCUACCUGCAACUAUUUUUUAACAUACUUGAGAUAUUUAAUGAAACAUUAAUUAAUGCUAAUACAUUUUUUAUUAUCUAUCACGAUUUAAUUUCCACCAGAUUUCACUUAUGGAGAAACCCUAUGUUUAUCCCAUUCCCACGUAUUUUUGGUCAAUAUCCUUUGCGUCAUAAAUUAAAACAUUACAACGAAAAUAAUUAAUGAUAGAAAAUAUCAAAUAGGAUAUUUGGAUUGAAUAAGACACAGUAAUUUUUAUUUCUCAAAAACUACAUUUCUGAAAGUUUAAAAAAAUAAAAUAAAUUACGUAGGCCUUAUUCAAUCCGGACAUCUGGUUAAAACUCUGAUUUAUUACUAAAAGAAUUUCAAUGCGCUCUUAAACUUCCUCUUUAUAUAUGCGCGCGUAACGAAUGAAAGAAAAAGAAGGAUCUCUUAUACGCGUUUCGCUGUAAUAAGGCAAGUUGAAUCGGCAAGCGGUCAAUGCUCGACUGACCUCAACAACAGUAAAAGUGACAAACGCUUGGCUCCAUUCGUCGAAGCCAGCCGACAACUCGAUUCCUCGAUUCUUCGAUCCCCUCCGUUUAUUCUCAGCUAUCUUGCGUGCCAAACGGCACUCGAUGCACCAUGCACCGCCCUCCUUACUGGAUUUCAUUCAUUUUAUUUCUCAUCUUGAACCCAUCAAGUCUCAAUUUACUCUAAUGAUUAAUAAUUAGUAAUUGUACAAUUAAUUUCGAACAUUUGGCAACAGAAGGGCGAAUGAAUCAAAAGAUUGUGUACAUUUCUAUAAUUGAGAUCAUAAGUACCAGGCGUUUCCAAUUAAGGGUAUAUUCUCGCUUUUGAGUUUCAAAAAAUCUAUUAUUAAUUUUGAUAUUUUAAAAUAAUUUAAAACUUGAAAAAGGAACAAGUUAAAAAGACAAGUUAAAAAACUUACAAAAGUUUCUAUUAAUAUAUAAACUAUAUGCAAAACUUUAAAGUAUUUUUCUCGAAGUAACUAAUUAGUUAAUUAAUUAAUUAAUAAAGGAUUUUAUGUAUCGCGCAAAGUAUGUAAAUAAAAAUAAACACGAUGAAACACUUCACUAUAUACAAAACCAUAUUCCCAGAAUACAGCUUUGGGAUAUCAAAAUAGGGCCCGUUUUUUAUCAACGUAGAUUAACUUUAAUUUCGGUUUAACUUACUCUUUAUCUUUUUCUAAUUUUUCAAACUAGAUAACAAGUAAGUUAAAAUCGAGAUUAAAAUUAAUCUACAUUGGUAGAAACGGGCCAGAUUUAUUAAUCAAGCCCUGACUUGCACGUACGUUAUUUCUUCGUGCAGGACCUAAUGGGAUUUUGCCUCGAAAGGGACAGAAAUAGAGAACAACUAUCUAAGACCUUUACAGGACCUCUUAAAGUUUCACCGGGAUGCCGUCUGCAUUCUGUCGUUCAGCAAAUGAACUUACUGCCGCGUUAUGUCGCAUUAUUGUUGCGCGAGAACUGGGAACUUAAAAAUAACUGCAUUUGUAUCCAAUAAUGAACGGUCUCCGAGAAGAUAAAUAUUCAGCCAUAUUACGACUGGUAGAAGAACGCGCGCCAUGACGACGAGGCCGCGUUGCAAAACUGGAACAGGAAAACCCGACGUGGAAAAUUGUCGUAAGAGCGACGGGACGAGCGCGGUGCAGUACUAUAAAGAGACAACGGGCUUGAGAGUUGCAAGCACGCGCGGGCGCGGGGUGAUUGGCAGAGAUUGGCGUCGCAACGAGAUCGAAAUGUCAACGAGAGUCUUGCGAACAGGAAACCUCGUACGUAUCUCUCGAGGAAACGCUCUUGUGUCUCUUUUGUCAGGGGCGCAUCCACCCUCUCGCCAGCUAAGUCUUCAUAACACUCGGUCCGCCCUUUACUUCGUUAAAAUUACAAGAGAGAGAACGUGGACAAGAGCAAUUCUCUACAAGCUACAAAACAGUAGACGGUCUGACCUCAAAUGCUUUUAGAGAGGAAACACUCUUUCUACGUAUCUUGCACCCUACAUGUCCAAUUCUAAGAUUUCAUACUAAUUUAAAAAUAUACUAAAAUAAAAACAUACUAAAAAAAAAUACAAUAUUUCAUACUAAGAUAUGUUUAAUUAUUUAUUAAUUAAAAGUUCUUGUUAAUAUAUUUAUUGAUAACAGAUAAACAGUUCUAACGAUCAUAGUUCUGAUGAUCAAAUGAUAAAAGAGAAACGCGAUAAUACGAGCGCCAUUUAUUUUUACGUCGAAUAAAAUCAAAGUUUCUCGUAAGUAAACAGUAAGUGACAGUAGAAAAGCGGAAUUUUUCUGGCCAAAUCAGAGAUCGAUCGGCGAUCUUAGAAGAUCGAUCCGCUCCUGUGUUGACCAGUUGUUACACACCGAUUGAUCGGUAUGCGACGUACUGCGCACUGGCUCUUACGAUCGCACGAUCCGAACCUUCGAAAGGACAUUGACCCGCAGAUUACCAGCGUAUUCGGCAAUUUGACGACUUGCGGAGAAUCUUCUUCACUCCUUCACCGACACUUUCAACUACAAUCCAUACAACAGAACCCUUGGCUUGUACGGUGGGAGGAAGGGUCUUAGCAGGGCCGCUUUUUGAGACCGCGUGUUCAAAGUGUGCGCCGCACACGGGCGGCACAUACAAAGGGUGAUGAAUUCAACUUAAAGGAGGCGGUAAUUGUUCGCUGGCACACGAGCAAUACCGAUACUUAAGAUGAGCUAACAAACCUCGAAGGCAACAACCCCGAAGGCAACAACCCCGAGAACGUUGAACUAUCUUUCACAUCUGCUAUGUGGAUCUGAUGAAAAUAUUUCGAGUACUAGUGGGACAACAAGAAGGGUCUAACAUUUUAACACUAAAUGACCUGCUCUAAAAGUCGAAAUUUCUGUGUGGAGUAUAAUGAACCGUACCCCCCGUAGAGUACAAUAACAAAAAACAUUCACUGCCACAUUCUAUAUUGGACGGUGCAAUGAUGGUGAAACGUUAUUUAUAGUGUAAGUUUAAAUAAUAAACUCUUAUCUUUACAAUAUAUAUUUUAAGUAAUUUUUAUUCUUAAUAUAUAUUUAUAAUUUAUAUCAUUCUUUUUGCAUUUUUGAAAUUCGAGUUUUAGUUCAAUUCACGAAAUCCUUGGCCACUAAAUCACGCGGAAAAUCUAUUAACAUUUGUUAAAUCGAUACAGCUGUAGCCUUGAGCAGUUGUAAAAACAUUCAGUAUGUACGCCAAUCAGAUUUCUUUCGUCGUAUAUAUUAUUCGUCCGUCAUAUAUCGACAGCUAUCGAUGGAUAUUGACAUACCGGAUAUAAGCUCGAGCAACCGCUCAUUCCUGACAUUUCGUGAGAGUUUAACAUCAGCAAAUAAAAAAGAAAAAAAGAAACAAGUGUAAAAUUAUAUCAUUUACUCGAGUUCUUAGAUUACAAAUAUUCUUUACCUUAUUAUAUUUUCGAAAUGCAUGUGUGUGUGUGUGUAUUUUACAAAAACUCAUUUUUCUAAAUUUUUUUUUUAAGAAAGA
Molecule: unclassified non-coding RNA, 5018 nt
Filed under: Monomorium pharaonis (pharaoh ant)
Lineage: Eukaryota; Metazoa; Arthropoda; Insecta; Hymenoptera; Formicidae
Description: uncharacterized LOC114253723, transcript variant X3
Source: RNAcentral